GCCAUGAGGGCGGGAACCCUCGUACGCGGAAGUUCAUGAGGGCGGGACCCUCGUACGCGGAAGGUCAUGAGGGCGGGACCCUCGUACGCGGAAGUUCAUGCGGGCGGGACCCUCGUACGUGGAAGGUCAUGAGGGCGGGACCCUCGUACGUGGAAGGUCAUGAGGGCGGAACCCUGGUACAUGAAAUUCGUUCUCUUAUUUAAGAGACAAAGAACGCCCUUGUUUUUUCCACCACGUGAUGGCGCAGACAGAAGACAACCAGCAUCUAUGAACCAGGAAGCCCCCACCAGGCACUGAAUCUGCCCCUGCGUGGAUCUUAGACUUGCAGACUCCAGAACUCUAACAUGGGCUUUCGAGCGGAUUUUCAGAACAUAGAACUUGCUGGUUUACUCCCUAUUACCCGGGUACCUACUGACAGCAGGCACAGCAUGGAAGCCAGUGCUACCAUUUAACUACGAAUAAGCUGAUCUCAAGUUUACAGGCUGGGAGUAAAGUCAACCUUAAUCAAAACCUUACAAUGUCUCUUCUCCAUUAAGAAAACCUACUUCAACAUCUCCAUUGGUUCUCAACAUAGAGGUCCAAAUUUUGGUCUGGAGCCAGAGACAAUAUAGGAUGAAGUUUGAUUUGUUCCAAAACCCACAGAAAUCUCUAAAAUGGAAGAAUUUUCUUAGAACCAAAAGGCAUGGAAUUGAUGACAUGAAACUGCCUGAGCUUCUCAGCUGACCUGUGAUGGAGUGUUGUGCCCAAGUGGAAAGUUCUUCUUUCUUUCAGAGACAUAUCAUUCACCAUAAAAUACAACCAGAGACUUCAAAAUUACUCCAGGCUAGAAGGACACUCCAAUUAGGGGAAAAGUAACCUAUGGGCAAACCAUCUUCCGUAAGAGUUCAAGGACAAAAAACUACUGAUGUUGUAAUAACAUUGAAACUUAAUGUUUUGGGCAAUCCUUAAGUGAUUUAUUUGGAGUGUCCCAGUCAUUUUAGACCUCUUCACCUUACAAUGUAUUGUGUGAGAUUAUAUUUCCAUGCACCUAAUUUUAAAAUAAAUUUAUUUAGGUAGAUGUAGAGACAUAUUACUGUGAUAAAGCAGUUCAUACCAAAUAAAAUUUAGCUAA
RNAcentral lists this long non-coding RNA (1111 nucleotides) under Homo sapiens (human). Its description in RNAcentral is "HSALNT0324846". The record is from RNAcentral. Lineage: Eukaryota; Metazoa; Chordata; Mammalia; Primates; Hominidae.